RNAcentral lists this long non-coding RNA (1034 nucleotides) under Nicotiana tabacum (common tobacco). Its description in RNAcentral is "long non-coding RNA (NTAB_LNC000400)". Lineage: Eukaryota; Viridiplantae; Streptophyta; Magnoliopsida; Solanales; Solanaceae. The record is from RNAcentral.
GAAAUUGCAUAAUGUUAUGUUCAAUCAACACAUCCAAGAAAAAAUUUCCUAUAUCUUUCUGUGUACAGUCCAUUAGGGUGCAAUGACAAAGCUCAAUGAAUCGUUAAAAUUGACAAUGUAAACCAACUUUUCAACGAUUAUAUAUGUUACACAGAUCGAUUUGUACACAUUCUUCGAACUAGUUAUCGUGCCACUGAAAAUAAGAAUGGUGGAACCCCUUAAUAACCUUGGAAAAUUGGUGGCGGUGGUGAUGCGUAUAGCGAGCCCAAUGAUGGAGGAAGAGCAACAUCCUCAAAAGUGGGUGGAGGUGGAGGUAAGGCUACAGGUGGGGGUGGUGAGUGGAUAAGUGGCGGUGGAGGUGACGCUACCGGAGGCGGUGGUGAGUGAACGGGAGGUGGAGGUGACGCUACCGGAGGCGGUGGUGAGUGAACGGGAGGUGGAGGUGGAGGUGAGGCCACUGGUGGCGGUGGUGAGUGAACGGGAGGUGGAGGUGAAGCCAUUGUUGGUGGUGGUGGUGAGUGGACGGGAGGUGGAGGUGACGCCACUGGAGGCGGUGGUGAGUGGACGGGAGGUGGAGGUGAGGCCACUGGUGGUGGUGGAGAUCGAGCUGGAGGUGGUGGUGAAGCCACUGGGGAUGGAGGUGAAGCCAGUGGUGGUGGUGGUGAGUGGACUGGAGGUGGAGGUGAUGCCACCGGUGGUGGUGGAGAUUGGACUAGAGGUGGUGGCGGUGAUGGUGGUGGUAAAGUAUUUGGUGGUGGGGGAGGUGAGGCAACUGGAGGUGGGGAUGGGGGUAAAUAAUUUGGUGGUGGGGGAGGUGAGGCAACUGGCGGUGGUGGAGAUGUGACCGGGGGUGGAAUGGUGGUUUUUGGUGGAGGUGAUUUGGGAGUCGGUGGUGGCGAUAGGGUUGGAGUAGAUACAUGAGGUGGCUUUGGUUUUGGACUCGUAGGUUUUGGUGGAGACUUUUUGGGGGUUGAAGGGGUGUUUUCUUUAGGUGGAUCCUUUGGACUCUGCCCUUGUGGAGAAAAUCCACAAUG